Phyllopteryx taeniolatus (common seadragon) is the source of this 969-nucleotide long non-coding RNA. RefSeq lists it as uncharacterized. The record is from RefSeq and is a predicted model, not a curated record. The transcript has 5 exons. NCBI's taxonomy places the organism in Eukaryota, Metazoa, Chordata, Actinopteri, Syngnathiformes, Syngnathidae.
CGUUUUCCCACAAUGCACAGCGACAGACCAUAUCUUAUGUGUACGUCACUUCCGCUCCUUCCUUCUUGCCUGAGCUCGGUGUAUCACACAUCUUGCACGUGUCGUCGUGCAGCUGAAUUCGAGAUGGUUUCCCAGUGGAAAGAAGGCCGAGCAGUAGACGUGGGAUGAACGAAGCAAGCGACUUGGUGUCCUUGCAAUUAGCAGAUGACCAUGUCAUAUCAGCACUGACCCCAUGGUAACUGAAGUGAUAUGGGAAGCAGUAGCUGGGCUAUGGACAGAUGCUAUGAGUCCAGACUGACUUGAGUAACUUGGGGCCCUGGCGAUGACUGGAGACGUGUACCCUCCUCAAGAUGCGACUGGGUUUCAGCAUUGGAGUCAUGCUUAAAUGUUUAAAGAGAAAAAUGUGAUUGAUAGCCAAUGAAAAUUGUUACUUUGCAGAGUUUUACAGCAACAAUACAAAGUCUUAUACCAGUUUACUGGUGAAAAGACAAUUUGUCAAGGAAAAGAGAGAUUGUGGCUUUCACAGAGCAACCCCAAAAAACUGAAAGGCUAUUUUUUUAGUAUGCCUGUCAUCCAUAUCACCAUUAAAUUCUCGUCAGUAACAGAUUUAUAAAGUAUGGUGAUUGGUGCUGUGGUAUUAACCUGCAUACCAGUCAGAACUGUUGGAUUCUUGUGAAACGUUGUUUUUGCUUUAAUCAGUUUGGUGGUGCGAGAUGGUUGAAUUGUAGAGGAAAGGAUGUCAUUGUACUGUCUUUGCGAGAUUGGAAAAUGUUAUAAUAUAGCUGAUUUCUGUUAAACAGAAAACAAACACUAUUUGCUUGACUAGUCUUUUUGUUCCAAGCCAAGCUUAUUCUCCAGAUAUCAACCUCCGACAUGGCGGACAAAUGCCGGUUAUGUGAUUAAAUAUCUAUAUAAAGUGUUAGUGCUUAAAAUGGAUCUGUUUUCUUAAUAAACUGACAUUGCAUCAUA